UACGUAGGGGGCGAGCGUUGUCCGGAUUUAUUGGGCGUAAAGAGCUCGUAGGCGGUUCGAUAAGUCGGAUGUGAAAUCUCCACGCUCAACGUGGAGAGGCCAUUCGAUACUGUCGUGACUCGAGUCCGGUAGGGGAGUGUGGAAUUCCCGGUGUAGCGGUGAAAUGCGCAGAGAUCGGGAGGAACACCCGUAGCGAAGGCGGCACUCUGGGCCGGUACUGACGCUGAGGAGCGAAAGCCAGGGGAGCAAACGGG
RNAcentral lists this ribosomal RNA (254 nucleotides) under uncultured bacterium. Its description in RNAcentral is "partial 16S ribosomal RNA". It matches the Rfam family "Bacterial small subunit ribosomal RNA", at positions 524 to 776 of the family's 1533-position model. The record is from RNAcentral.